This 268-nucleotide ribosomal RNA is filed under the name Calditrichota bacterium. RNAcentral's name for it is "Calditrichaeota bacterium (activated sludge metagenome) partial 16S ribosomal RNA". It matches the Rfam family "Bacterial small subunit ribosomal RNA", at positions 1 to 262 of the family's 1533-position model. The record is from RNAcentral. Lineage: Bacteria; Pseudomonadati; Calditrichota.
ACAACGAAGAGUUUGAUCCUGGCUCAGGACGAACGCUGGCGGCGUGCUUAACACAUGCAAGUCAAGGGGAAAGUCGUCUUCGGAUGGCGAGUAUACUGGCGGACGGGUGAGUAACGCGUAGGCAAUCUGCCCUUAUGAUUGGGAUAACCCCUGGAAACGGGGGCUAAUACCGGAUGUGGUCUGGAUUUUGCAUAAUUUUCAGAUUAAAGAUGGUUCGCUAUCGCAUAAGGAUGAGCCUGCGUCCCAUUAGCUAGUUGGUAGGGUAACG